Molecule: unclassified non-coding RNA, 185 nt
Filed under: soil metagenome
Description: partial contains 5.8S ribosomal RNA, internal transcribed spacer 2, and large subunit ribosomal RNA
Source: RNAcentral
AAGACUAUAGACCUGCGGAGUACCUGCGGAAGGAUCAUUAACAAAUCCAAUAGUUGCGCUGGUAGUGAUACCUCGCAAAUAUUAAACCGCCGGUUUUCGAACUGGCUGGUAAAUAUAAAUGCAUGUUGUGUUGACAGUGUGUGUAAUUAAAAAAAUUUAUUGACAACUUUCAACAACGGAUCUCU